This 405-nucleotide ribosomal RNA is filed under the name uncultured Eubacteriales bacterium. RNAcentral describes it as "uncultured Clostridiales bacterium partial 16S ribosomal RNA". It matches the Rfam family "Bacterial small subunit ribosomal RNA", at positions 355 to 774 of the family's 1533-position model. The record is from RNAcentral. Lineage: Bacteria; Bacillati; Bacillota; Clostridia; Eubacteriales.
UGGGGAAUAUUGGGCAAUGGGCGAAAGCCUGACCCAGCGACGCCGCGUGAAGGAAGAAGGUCUUCGGAUUGUAAACUUAUGUCAGCAGGGAAGAAUCAAGUGACGGUACCUGCAGAGGAAGCCACGGCUAACUACGUGCCAGCAGCCGCGGUAAUACGUAGGUGGCGAGCGUUAUCCGGAAUUACUGGGUGUAAAGGGUGUGUAGGCGGGCUAUUAGGUCAGAUGUGAAAUUCACAGGCUUAACUUGUGAACUGCAUUUGAAACCGUUAGUCUUGAGUGUGGGAGAGGUAAGCGGAAUUCCCAGUGUAGCGGUAAAAUGCGUAGAUAUUGGGAGGAACACCAGUGGCGAAGGCGGCUUACUGGACCACAACUGACGCUGAGACACGAAAGCGUGGGGAGCAAACA